This 497-nucleotide ribosomal RNA is filed under the name uncultured bacterium. RNAcentral describes it as "partial 16S ribosomal RNA". It matches the Rfam family "Bacterial small subunit ribosomal RNA", at positions 28 to 507 of the family's 1533-position model. The record is from RNAcentral.
GACGAACGCUGGCGGCGUGCCUAAUACAUGCAAGUUGAGCGCUGAAGGUUGGUACUUGUACCGACUGGAUGAGCAGCGCACGGGUGAGUAACGCGUGGGGAAUCUGCCUUUGAGCGGGGGACAACAUUUGGAAACGAAUGCUAAUACCGCAUAAAAACUUUAAACACAAGUUUUAAGUUUGAAAGAUGCAAUUGCAUCACUCAAAGAUGAUCCCGCGUUGUAUUAGCUAGUUGGUGAGGUAAAGGCUCACCAAGGCGAUGAUACAUAGCCGACCUGAGAGGGUGAGCGGCCACAUUGGGACUGAGACACGGCCCAAACUCCUACGGGAGGCAGCAGUAGGGAAUCUUCGGCAAUGGACGAAAGUCUGACCGAGCAACGCCGCGUGAGUGAAGAAGGUUGUCGGAUCGUAAAACUCGGUUGGUAGAGAAGAACGUUGGUGAGAGUGGAAAGCUCAUCAAGUGACGGUAACUACCCAGAAAGGGACGGCUAACUACGUG